GGGGGGAGGCCGGAUCCUGGGCUUUGUCCCGGUGCCCAGUGCUCCGCAGCCUGCGCUGUUGGAUUCGCGCUCCCGCCCCGCAGCCCCCU
RNAcentral lists this microRNA precursor (89 nucleotides) under Canis lupus familiaris (dog). RNAcentral describes it as "mir-8799 microRNA precursor family". It matches the Rfam family "mir-8799 microRNA precursor family". Lineage: Eukaryota; Metazoa; Chordata; Mammalia; Carnivora; Canidae. The record is from Rfam by way of RNAcentral.